UUUUCAAAGGGAAUUAGUGAAGAAAAACACCCUUUUUUGAAACCUGAAAUGCCUAGACUUUUCCAGAAAAGUAAUCCAUACGUGUGAACGAUUGCAAUCCUCCUGAAACACCGGGUUUCAGGUAGUUUUCUGUUUGCUGAAAGUCGUUUAUCUGGCUUUGCUCCUAUUUAACUUCUUUUAAAUAAAAGAUGUUUUCCAAUAUUUGCAUUCUCCAGCACUUCACACAGAAAUACAGCCUCAAAAAUGUGCAUGUGCUAAUGUUUCCCUUUCAAUUACUCCCAUAUAGAUCUGAAAGUAUUCCCUGAAAUUCUCUCUUUAUGCAUGACAGUUAUUCUGUCACUGGUACCAACUCAUGAAAAAGUGAUUUGUCUAGACUGUAGCCAUAAUACUGGGCCUGCUUCUGCUGUUGCACCGGUGAAUAAAGGACAAAGACAAAAGUAGCUGCAGGAAUUUAGAAAUGAACUGCAGUGCCCUACAGAAUCAAGAUUUUGAAUUUGAUUGAUUAAUGAGCUGUUACCACCAGCCUGGGCAUGUGUUGCCGUUCCCAGCCUGUCUGGUAGCUGCUGGGCUCUAAUCAAAACAGGAGGAAAUGUUCAUACAACCUCCGCAAAGCUGAACUGCUGAAUUUCACAGAGCCACAGGGCUGUUUAAACAGUGUGGUGACUGCUACUCAUACCUCUUACCCACAGGUGCAGACAUCACUGUUGCAGGGAUGCUUGCAGACCCAUUCCCAGGGCUGGAGUUUUUACAAAGUAUUGUAAAGUCAGCCCCUGAAGUCUAAUUCUCCUCUUGCAGGUACCGAUGUAACAUCAGAUGCAACCCUGCUUAGCCAAACCCUGAGCUGGUGGAAGGCAGUGGAGGGUCAGUGUGUAAAUGGUCCCAAGUCCUUCGCGGAAGAGGCACCGACGUUGCCUGCUGCCAGGGCAGGUUUAUUGUCUGUAUCCUGGCUGGAUAGAGGUAAAAGGAUAAGAAGUAAACAGAGAAGAACCCAGCUGAGAUGCCAGCAGUUUGAGUUUGCAAGCUUGAAAGUGAGAUAAAGAAUUCUUGUUUACAACAGCCACUGCGAAGCGUCAUUAAGCUGUGGGACUUGCCAUGACGUGACGUUUGAGGAAGCACUUCACAAAAGCUGAGGUCAGUAGAUGGGGGUUCCACUUCCCUGUAGUUUGGUUACUUCAUCUCCCUUCAUA
Molecule: long non-coding RNA, 1187 nt
Filed under: Struthio camelus australis
Lineage: Eukaryota; Metazoa; Chordata; Aves; Struthioniformes; Struthionidae
Description: lncRNA (ENSSCUG00000002384.1)
Source: RNAcentral